This 253-nucleotide ribosomal RNA is filed under the name uncultured bacterium. RNAcentral describes it as "partial 16S ribosomal RNA". It matches the Rfam family "Archaeal small subunit ribosomal RNA", at positions 474 to 727 of the family's 1478-position model. The record is from RNAcentral.
UACCCGCAGCACAAAUGGUGGUCAUUAUUAUUGGGCCUAAAGCGUCCGUAGCUGGCUUGUUAGAUGCCUGGGUAAAUCGAUGCGCUCAACGCAUCGAAUUCCGGGUAGACCGGCAAGCUCGAGACCGGGAGAGGUGUAGGCUACUCGCGGGGUAGGGGUAAAAUCCUGUAAUCCUUGGGGGACCACCAGUGGCGAAGGCGUCGCACUAGAACACGUCCGACGAUCAGGGACGAAGCCCUGGGGCGCAAACGGG